RNAcentral lists this transfer RNA (69 nucleotides) under Ictidomys tridecemlineatus (thirteen-lined ground squirrel). Its description in RNAcentral is "Spermophilus tridecemlineatus (thirteen-lined ground squirrel) tRNA". It matches the Rfam family "tRNA". From Rfam's summary of the family: Transfer RNA (tRNA) molecules are approximately 80 nucleotides in length. Their secondary structure includes four short double-helical elements and three loops (D, anti-codon, and T loops). The record is from Rfam by way of RNAcentral. Lineage: Eukaryota; Metazoa; Chordata; Mammalia; Rodentia; Sciuridae.
GGGAUUGUAGCUCAAUGGCAGAGCACUCGCCUAGCAAGUGUGAGGCACUGGGUAGGAAUCUCAGCACCA